AGGCGCUCAUCCCUGAAGCGGCUCCGCGUUCCCAGGAGCCUCCCGCCGGAGGGAGAAAUGUUGCUGAAGCGCUGCUGAAGGGGCCACAGAUGCAAGGAUUUGGGACACGUUUGAACCUUUAAGCUGUCUGACAUUGACCUCCUUUCAUUAUUAAUAAAGAAGAAGCAGGAGCUUAGGAUAUAUUAACACCAACUCAUUAAUGUACUAACCGGACAGUGCUCUGCAAACCCCACUGCGCAGUAAAGGACUGGACUGGCCCAGGACACAAUCAUUUCGCAUUUCCUCAGCUUAUAAUAUGACUGGAUGGAGGGAAAUUUGAUGAGCAUGAGGGAAGACCAUUCCUUUCAUGUCCGCUACAGAAUGGAAGCUUCUUGCCUCGAGCUGGCCUUGGAAGGAGAACGUCUGUGUAAAUCAGGGGACUG
RNAcentral lists this long non-coding RNA (422 nucleotides) under Rattus norvegicus (Norway rat). RNAcentral's name for it is "long non-coding RNA NONRATT016790". The record is from RNAcentral. Lineage: Eukaryota; Metazoa; Chordata; Mammalia; Rodentia; Muridae.